UGUGGUAUCGGGCCAGGAAGGAAACAGACAGAGAACCAAAGGCAGCACGGGGAAGGAGUGAAAGGAGACUACAUGUGUCUUUCUGUUAUACGUCCCACAGUCUGAAGGGUAGAAGAAUAAAAUGAAAUACUGCCUGUGGAAAAGGAUGAAGCUGUUUGAACUCGACGUAUUCAUCUCCACAUCAAAACACACAAAGAUGAAUACACAAGCGUGAUGACCUUAAUAUGACCCCCAACUCUCACAAUCCAUCUGAGAACACAGAUGCUGCUGCUCCAUUACUCUGAAAGAAAAUGAGCAGCUCAACAGCGCCUCACGGUGGACUCUGGCAAUAGUGCUCAAGUGAAAUUGGUCUUUUUUUUUUUUUUUUUCCAGAUGGUCCAAGCAGGAUCAUUAUUAGCCAUUUCCGCUGUAUCAGAGUAAGAACUUAUCAGUGUUUUUAAGUAGUGUCAGUACGUACCAUCCAUGAGUAACUGGAAGCCUUUUCAUGCUCUAUAUUUCUGUGGUAAAAACACAAACUAACUUUCAUAUAUAUAUAUUUUUUUUUAAAUGAUUCGUUUUCCAAUAACAGAACUGGUCUCUAUGUGCAGCCGGCUGUGAGAGGCCCGUUACAUAUCGGUGACACUGUCUGAGAACAUUUAUAUAUGCAUUAUAUUUUUGUUUGUGUUGUACUUCGUAGACGUUCCCUGUACACUCUGCCAUGUGAAUAUGAACAAACAUGACAAAUAGGGUGGUGGAUAUGGAGAGAUUACCUGAUGUGAAGCUCUGGCAGUCAAACAUUUCCUGCACAGUGUCAUAUACAUACAACACACACACCUUUAAACAUUCCAUUAACUCAAGUGCUUUCUGCACAAUCCUUUGUCAUUGUUGCACUUUUCUGUUGCACUGCCUUGUGUCUGCAUCUUUCUGUUCUGCCUGGUGUUGUACUGUUUUUGCAAGUUUUGCACACGUGCACUUUAUGUAGUGUGCAUGUAGCACCAUGAUCCUGGAGGAACACCGUCUCAUUUCACUGUGUACUGUACCACCGUAUAUGGUUGAAAUGACAAUAAAGCCACUUGACUUGAUUUCCCUCUCCACCUCUUUUCUGAUACAGUUAGGGCCAAGUUUUU
Molecule: long non-coding RNA, 1106 nt
Organism: Astatotilapia calliptera (eastern happy)
Lineage: Eukaryota; Metazoa; Chordata; Actinopteri; Cichliformes; Cichlidae
Source: Ensembl